This 497-nucleotide ribosomal RNA is filed under the name uncultured bacterium. RNAcentral describes it as "partial 16S ribosomal RNA". It matches the Rfam family "Bacterial small subunit ribosomal RNA", at positions 28 to 507 of the family's 1533-position model. The record is from RNAcentral.
GAUGAACGCUGGCGGCGUGCCUAAUACAUGCAAGUCGAGCGAACGGACGAGAAGCUUGCUUCUCUGAUGUUAGCGGCGGACGGGGGAGUAACACGUGGAUAACCUACCUAUAAGACUGGGAUAACUUCGGGAAACCGUAGCUAAAACCGGAUAAUAUUUUGAACCGCAUGGUUCAAAAGUGAAAGACGGUCUUGCUGUCACUGAUAGAUUGAUCCGCGCUGCAUUAGCUAGUUGGUAAGGUAACGGCUUACCAAGGCAACGAUGCAUAGCCGACCUGAGAGGGUGAUCGGCCACACUGGAACUGAGACACGGUCCAGACUCCUACGGGAGGCAGCAGUAGGGACUCUUCCGCAAUGGGCGAAAGCCUGACGGAGCAACGCCGCGUGAGUCCUGAAGGUCUUCGGAUCGUAAAACUCUGUUAUUAGGGAAGAACAUAUGUGUAAGUAACUGUGCACAUCUUGACGGUACCUAAUCAGAAAGCCACGGCUAACUACGUG